RNAcentral lists this ribosomal RNA (216 nucleotides) under uncultured bacterium. RNAcentral's name for it is "partial 16S ribosomal RNA". It matches the Rfam family "Bacterial small subunit ribosomal RNA", at positions 328 to 539 of the family's 1533-position model. The record is from RNAcentral.
ACGCUCGACACCUACGGGAGGUAGCAGUGAGGAAUAUUGGUCAAUGGACGCAAGUCUGAACCAGCCAUGCCGCGUGCAGGAUGACGGCUCUAUGAGUUGUAAACUGCUUUUGUACGAGGGUAAACGCAGAUACGUGUAUCUGUCUGAAAGUAUCGUACGAAUAAGGAUCGGCUAACUCCGUGCCAGCAGCCGGUAAUCUGAGCGGGCUGGCAAGGC